GAAUUCAUUGAAGAGUUGCUGUCUCCCCCUUUUGGGGGUUUAGUGGCAUUUGUGAAGGAGGCUGAGGCUUUGAUUGAGCGUGGACAGGCUGAGCGACUUCGAGGGGAAGAAGCCCGGGUAACUCAGCUGAUCCGUGGCUUCGGUAGUUCCUGGAAAUCAUCAGUGGAAUCUCUGAGUCAGGAUGUAAUGCGGAGUUUCACCAACUUCAGAAAUGGCACCAGUAUCAUUCAGGGAGCGCUGACCCAGCUGAUCCAGCUCUAUCAUCGCUUCCACCGGGUGCUGUCCCAGCCGCAGCUCCGAGCCCUCCCUGCCCGGGCUGAGCUCAUCAACAUUCACCACCUUAUGGUGGAGCUCAAGAAGCAUAAGCCCAACUUCUGAUGUGCUGGAAACCGCCCUGAGAUCUGCCAGUCAUCUCCAUGGACUUCUGCACCCCAUUCCAUACCCUUCUUCACCUGGGGUCCCCCUUCCAGUUUUUCCCUUGCUUCCCAGGCCCUUGACAUGGCUUACUUGCCUUCACUCCCAGCACCUUGCCCAACAGGAUAAGCUGGAUCCCCUUGGCCUUCUGAAUAUCCCACUGUCUUCAGGUUUCCCAAGACCACUUCCCUGUGGGCUU
Molecule: small RNA, 613 nt
Filed under: Pongo abelii (Sumatran orangutan)
Lineage: Eukaryota; Metazoa; Chordata; Mammalia; Primates; Hominidae
Description: processed transcript
Source: RNAcentral